UACGUAGGGUGCAAGCGUUGUCCGGAAUUAUUGGGCGUAAAGAGCUCGUAGGCGGUUUGUCGCGUCUGCUGUGAAAACGCGAGGCUCAACCUCGCGCCUGCAGUGGGUACGGGCAGACUAGAGUGCGGUAGGGGAGAUUGGAAUUCCUGGUGUAGCGGUGGAAUGCGCAGAUAUCGAGGAGGAACACCGAUGGCGAAGGCAGAUCUCUGGGCCGUAACUGACGCUGAGGAGCGAAAGCGUGGGGAGCGAACAGG
Molecule: ribosomal RNA, 254 nt
Filed under: uncultured bacterium
Lineage: Bacteria
Description: partial 16S ribosomal RNA
Rfam family: Bacterial small subunit ribosomal RNA
Source: RNAcentral